CCCGGAAGGACCUGUGCUGCAGUCUGCUGUCUCCACAGGGCACGCAGCAUCCUACGGGACUGCACACACCCAGGACACCGGGUGUUUAAGCUGCUGCCGUCUUUCAGGAGACUCAGACUGCUGAGGUCACAGACAAACAGACAAGAGUCUCAGUUUCCACCCCUGGGCGGAGUCACGGCAUACCUGCGUGCCUCCACACCUGCUGGCAGUUGAGCUGUCAGUACUUAAGACCAGCGCUCACCCCUACUCUCUGCCAAGUCUUCAGCUUACCUACAGUUAGUGCUGGUUGUCACGGAGUAGUCAUCAAAACAGAUUUUUUUCAUGCACCUACGUAACACCCCACCUGGAAACAGCACUGCCUCACCCAGACCUCUUCCCCCUCUCGUGCCUAAAAACCUCCACCUGCCAAGUAAGACAAGAUCUGUUUAUACUUCAUUCUCAUCUGGACUCCAUCGGCCUCGCUCUUAACUCUGUUUUCCUCUCGUUCUAGUUCUCCGUGACACCUUGCUGCAUUACCUGUUCCGAGUGCACAUUCCCCCUUGAAUUUCCCUACUCUAGUUGUCCUAGUGUUUCAUGCUGUUCAUUGUCAUUUGAGUACUCUUUAUUUUAUUAGAGCUGUAGGUAGUCUCUCUCAGUUUUCAGUAGCUUCGUGGUUCAGAGCUCACACUCUAAAUUAAUAUCAGUUCUUCCUGUUGUAAAUAAAGAGUUUUUGAUAAAUACGCUCACCAGUGCCUCCGUGAGUGUUCUCCAUAUCGAGUCUUUUUCCCAGGUCGGCCUUGGCUGUGACAUUAAUAACGGCACCGUGUUUCCUCCUCUAUUCAGCAUGCCAAACAGACAAAGAGCACCGCACCAAAGCAGCAUCCUGGAAUCUGCGGAAGAGGACGCAGAAGUUACCAUUAAAACCUUCAUCAGGACCCACCUGAAGCUUCCACAGGACAUGCUGAAGAACAUCACCUUCCACUGUGUCCAUGGCCUGGCAGCAAGAAUGAUGCCUGAAGACCGCGUCCUAUUGUGACCAAAUUCCAACAUUUCAAGCAGAAGGAACAGGCAGCUGAAAGGAACGGACUUUAGUGUAAACAACCAGUUCCCCAAAGAGAUUCCGGAGCGACAUGAGGUCCUGAUCCUCAUUCAGUGGAUCUUCAUUCAGAAGGGCUCCCGUGCUGUGGUCGCUGUGGAUGAACAGAUCAGCCUCAGCACCACUCCCUGGUUGAUUGACGCCACUCCAUAUAAGAAUCCACUACAUUGUUUUUCUUCUCCUCCGCUUCCCCUGUUAUCUAACUUAUUGAUGUUAAUUCACUAAUGCAACGUGACGUCAUGACAGAUAAAUUACCAUCAGUCUCCACAGCGUUAAAGUAUUAGUUACAAUGUUCUUGUUUUCUUUCCAGUUUUCUCUUUCAUCUCUCCCUCUUGCCCCAUUGCAUAUUUCCUUCUUAUUUUUAUGUUCAUUCUUAGUCUUAUAUGUUACUAUAUAUAUAUUCAUAUUUUCAGGCUGCUUUAUUUGACAAAACCUGUAGAGGACUGUAUUAGUCAGCUGUAAGGAUGGAGCAACCAAGAACCAACCUAACGGUGCCUACCUUCUACAGCGGCAUUCCACAAACAUUCAGCCUGUCAUGGCUGUAAUUGUAGUCCAUUCUAACACAGUUAAAAAUCAUGGUUGAUUUAAAACAAAAGCAACAAAAACUUUUACUUGGUUGUUAUCUUGUAGUUGUAUUAAUUACAGGAGUAUCUGUAAUAACCAUUUUUACAGAUGAAUAAAAGUUUGGACA
This is a long non-coding RNA of Oreochromis aureus, 1766 nucleotides long. Lineage: Eukaryota; Metazoa; Chordata; Actinopteri; Cichliformes; Cichlidae. The record is from Ensembl.